This is a long non-coding RNA of Ictalurus furcatus (blue catfish), 859 nucleotides long. RefSeq lists it as uncharacterized. Lineage: Eukaryota; Metazoa; Chordata; Actinopteri; Siluriformes; Ictaluridae. The record is from RefSeq and is a predicted model, not a curated record. The transcript is spliced from 3 exons.
GUCUGUGUGCGUCUGUGUGUGUCUGUGUGUGUGUGGGGGAAAAAGGGAAGGAAGAAAGUACUCUGUUUAACUGGAGUGCUGCUUGGCCCCUACACCUUUUAAGACAGCUAAUGAUGAUCUAUUUCUCCCUGACGGCCCACAGUCUGGGAGCAGGAGGAGCACUGUCUGUCAUCAAGUGCUAACAAUCACUAAUUAGCAAUGAUGUCUAUUAACACUGCCACCAGUGCAAGUGUUCUUGCAGCUGCCAUUCAGCACAAGGGCUGGCCAUGGACUGGUUAGCUGGAGGCAGUCUUAUCUGAACACAUUUCAUAAUUGCAUGAAGAAUUCUGCUUCAAACUGCAUGGAACUCUCUACCAUGCCAGAGUCCUGGAGGGGUCCACUCCCUGGCCCAGCACUAACUGCAGCUGUGGCACCUCCACCUGAGCUUUAGCAUUCAUGAAGCCUGUGCUCCCUAGGACAUCGCAGGAGAGACUAGUACUUUCCAGGCCAGAGAGCCGUCAGCACAGCUCAGGUUUCCUGCCAUUGAUCAAGUGCUCUUCUCUCUGCUGUGGGGCUGUGAGAGAAACCCGAUGGCUCGGUCGGAGAUGAUGAGAGGAAGGAGAAAACAAGAGAAUCAAUACACACUUCUUCACAGUCUUCUAUUUCUUUUCCUUUUGAAGAGGCCUGGGUGAGUAUUUGUGUUCGUGUAUAACUCACUACAUCUCUGUGUAGCUAAAGGUGUGGUUGGAAACUUUCAUAUGGACACAAGUUUUAAGUUAAUACAAUAAGAUACGAACUAUGUAUUAUAUAUUAAUAACAGCUAAAAGUCAAACAUUUUUGCUUGACUAGAAGAUAGAUAACAUUUGAUAGAAUUUUUGCU